RNAcentral lists this small nucleolar RNA (84 nucleotides) under Macleaya cordata. RNAcentral describes it as "Small nucleolar RNA R38". It matches the Rfam family "Small nucleolar RNA R38". Rfam says of the family: snoR38 is a C/D box small nucleolar RNA conserved across yeast, human, Arabidopsis and rice. It is encoded in the intron of elongation factor-1 gamma in both pombe and cerevisiae. snoR38 guides the methylation of 2'-O-ribose sites in 28S rRNA. Lineage: Eukaryota; Viridiplantae; Streptophyta; Magnoliopsida; Ranunculales; Papaveraceae. The record is from Rfam by way of RNAcentral.
AUAUGUGGGUGAUGAGAAAGUGAAAUCAAUCAGUUAUCCCUGUCUGAGAUUUUUGUGCUGAUUUUUCUAAACUCUGACACAUUU